CUAGUAGUCAAAGCAAUGGUGAGUCAAUAAGAAGCAUACAAGCAAAUAUAAGCAAAGAAAGCUAUCAAACCGACAAAGAGCCCAGCAACUACAUACCAUAACAAAAUGAUUAAUGGGUUCUUAUCAUUAUUUUGGACUUGUGGAAGAGGGAGCGGGAAUAUUUGUUAAUCUUUGCAGAAUCAAACAAGACAAUCCACACUAUGACCAAAAAGAAUAAUUGUAUCCCUAGAAAAACCUGAUACACAUAUUUCUUGCAUUUUACUAAGUGAUAGGCUUAUAACAACAACAACUACCCAGUAUAGUCCCACAAAGUGAGGUCUGGGAGGGUAAUAUGUAGACGGGCCUUACCCCUACCCGAAAGGGCAGAGAGGCUGUUUUCAAUCGACCCUUGGCUCAGUAAUGGAAAGGAAAAAUAAAAAUAAAAACAAAAGGGCAUUAGUAACUCCAGCAGAAAUAGCGUAAAUAAUUAUCUAAACAUAAGAUGGGCAGAGAGGUUGUUUCUAAUCGACCCUCGGCUUAGUGAAGGAAAGGACUCACUACCCUUACUGUUUUGGCACAAAUUGAUCCUCCAUUAAACUUUGGUGCAAACUAAAACUAACUGGACUAACAAUAAGCCAAGCUUACAUUUUUUUAAAUGAAAUGACCCAAGCAUACUCAUAGUAAAACAUUGAGGUACAGUCAAGAAACCAUGAAUCAUUAGAGCAUCAACUAAAUGCAUGGCUUUCAAUACUGUAGCAGACAACACAAAUAUCUCAACAAAAAGUCUGAACACCUUAUGUAGUACCCAACUGAUGUUGCAGAUAAUGCAGUACAAUAGAAUAACCAUAUGGAAUUAGGUUUCCUACAAUACACAGCUAUUAUUUCCGUAUCUCCAACUUCCUUCCAGAAGAUGCUGUAGAAUUAUUACUCAAUGAAUGUAGCUUCUUGACCUCACUGGACACUGAUCAUAAACUUCCAAAACUUAAGCCCAGGGAUGAAUUCUUAAAAAAAAGAUUCUCUAGGUGCAUGGCAAAUAUUCCUUUCUUUAGAUUACGUGUCAUCCCGGACAAAAGACUAUUCUACAAGUAUGAACAUGUUCAAAUGGGCAUAUCUAUGACACAGGUGGAAAAAGCAUAAUUCAAUAAUCCAAUUGAAUAAGCAUCCUGACCAAACAGACAAAAAGAUGCACACCAAUUCAUCCAUUUAGCUUGCUAAUUUUUGCACGGACUGGCUUGCGUGGGGAAACACUGCAAGACUGUCAUCCUGCAGAGUCAGUGCCUAUUUCCUAUGUUCUUACUCUAUUUACCAACGCAGGUUAAGAGUAGUUAAGCAUUUAAGAGAAACUGAGACUUUGAUCAAUUCUCUUCAGCACCCUUUUCACGGGUGUACCCUUUGGUACAAACUCCCUAAGAUAACAAAGAACAUUUAUAUGCCUUGAAAAGAAAGAAACCAGCCUUACUUAAGAACUACAGUAUUUGAGAGAAACAGACAUAACAGAUGAGUUUAAUUUUCCAAGUAUAGACAAAAUAGACAAUCUUGCAAGGAACAAACAAAAGCUACCCCUGAAAGAUUGAGGAAGAUGAUUGAAACAGCAAAAGCAGUGUAGUACAUACUGCAAUGCUAAAGUAAUAUUAGUAGUAGCCAAACAAAUACAUA
Molecule: long non-coding RNA, 1635 nt
Filed under: Nicotiana benthamiana
Lineage: Eukaryota; Viridiplantae; Streptophyta; Magnoliopsida; Solanales; Solanaceae
Description: long non-coding RNA (NBEN_LNC024120)
Source: RNAcentral